RNAcentral lists this ribosomal RNA (252 nucleotides) under uncultured bacterium. RNAcentral describes it as "partial 16S ribosomal RNA". It matches the Rfam family "Bacterial small subunit ribosomal RNA", at positions 524 to 776 of the family's 1533-position model. The record is from RNAcentral.
UACGUAGGGUGCGAGCGUUAAUCGGAAUUACUGGGCGUAAAGCGUGCGCAGGCGGUUCGUUGUGUCUGAUGUGAAAGCCCCGGGCUCAACUUGGGAACGGCAUUGGAAACUGGCGAGCUAGAGUGUGGCAGAGGGGGUGGAAUUCCGCGUGUAGCAGUGAAAUGCGUAGAGAUGCGGAGGAACACCGAUGGCGAAGGCAGCCCCCUGGGCUGACACUGACGCUCAGGCACGAAAGCGUGGGGAGCAAACAGG